RNAcentral lists this ribosomal RNA (687 nucleotides) under Lebetimonas sp. Shim55-D. RNAcentral's name for it is "bacterial SSU rRNA". It matches the Rfam family "Bacterial small subunit ribosomal RNA", at positions 22 to 723 of the family's 1533-position model. The record is from RNAcentral. Lineage: Bacteria; Pseudomonadati; Campylobacterota; Epsilonproteobacteria; Nautiliales; Nautiliaceae.
GCUCAGAAUGAACGCUGGCGGCGUGCUUAACACAUGCAAGUCGAACGGUAACAGAUAGUAGCUUGCUACUAUGCUGACGAGUGGCGCACGGGUGAGUAAUAUAUAGAUAAUGUGCCUCUUAGUCUGGGAUAGCCAUUGGAAACGAUGAUUAAUACUGGAUACUCCUUCUAAACUCAAGUUUAGUUGGGAAAGUUUUUCGCUAAGAGAUCGGUCUAUAUCCCAUCAGCUUGUUGGUAGUGUAAGAGACUACCAAGGCAAUGACGGGUAGCGGGUUUGAGAGGAUGAUCCGCCACACUGGUACUGAGACACGGACCAGACUCCUACGGGAGGCAGCAGUGAGGAAUAUUGCACAAUGGGGGAAACCCUGAUGCAGCAACGCCGCGUGGAGGAUGACGCAUUUCGGUGUGUAAACUCCUUUUAUAUGUCAAGAAAAUGACGGUAGCAUAUGAAUAAGCACCGGCUAACUCCGUGCCAGCAGCCGCGGUAAUACGGAGGGUGCAAGCGUUAUUCGGAAUCACUGGGCGUAAAGGACGCGUAGGCGGGUUGGAAAGUCAGAUGUGAAAUCCUACAGCUUAACUGUAGAACUGCAUUUGAAACUUCUAAUCUAGAGUAUGGGAGGGGGAGAUGGAAUUAGUGGUGUAGGGGUAAAAUCCGUAGAUAUCACUAGGAAUACCGAAAGCGAAGGCG